UACGGAGGGAGCUAGCGUUGUUCGGAAUUACUGGGCGUAAAGCGCGCGUAGGCGGCUUUGUAAGUUAGAGGUGAAAGCCCGGGGCUCAACCCCGGAACUGCCUUUAAGACUGCAUCGCUUGAAUCCAGGAGAGGUGAGUGGAAUUCCGAGUGUAGAGGUGAAAUUCGCAGAUAUCAGGAGGAACACCGAUGGCGAAGGCAGCCCCCUGGGCUGAGAUUGACGCUCAGGCACGAAAGCGUGGGGAGCAAACAGG
RNAcentral lists this ribosomal RNA (253 nucleotides) under uncultured bacterium. RNAcentral's name for it is "partial 16S ribosomal RNA". It matches the Rfam family "Bacterial small subunit ribosomal RNA", at positions 524 to 776 of the family's 1533-position model. The record is from RNAcentral.